Molecule: long non-coding RNA, 304 nt
Filed under: Ananas comosus (pineapple)
Lineage: Eukaryota; Viridiplantae; Streptophyta; Magnoliopsida; Poales; Bromeliaceae
Description: long non-coding RNA (ACOM_LNC018771)
Source: RNAcentral
UAUAUAUAUAUAUAUAUAUAUAGAGUAGGACUACUGUGCUACUAAUCGCACAGCAGCUAUUAUACUCCUAACUUUCUAAUCAUUCAUCAAGUUUGAUGGGUGGUUAGAAUAAAAUGAAAAAGAUAUAUUGAAGAGAAAUUCAAGAAGAAGAGAAAUUGAGACACUAAAUUUCUCUCCAUUAUCUUAUUCUAAAUAUCCAUCAAAUUUAAUGGGUGGUUAAAAAGUUAAAGCAUAAGGACUGUUGUGCUCCCAAUAGUACAGUAGCCCUUCUCUCUCUUUCUCUCUCUAUAUAUAUAUAUAUAUA